CCUUUUGAUGAUGAUUUAAACAGUUUGACUUUCGUUCUUCUGAGUCUGAUGAAGCCAAACUUUCUGUCCUGAGAGAGG
Molecule: small nucleolar RNA, 78 nt
Organism: Sinocyclocheilus grahami
Lineage: Eukaryota; Metazoa; Chordata; Actinopteri; Cypriniformes; Cyprinidae
Gene: snoZ159
Rfam family: Small nucleolar RNA Z159/U59
About the family: This family consists of several snoRNA Z159 or U59 sequences which are members of the C/D class of snoRNA which contain the C (UGAUGA) and D (CUGA) box motifs. This family seems to be found exclusively in rice.
Source: Ensembl